UACGGAGGGGGCUAGCGUUGUUCGGAAUUACUGGGCGUAAAGCGUACGUAGGCGGCCAUUCAAGUCAGAGGUGAAAGCCCGGGGCUCAACUCCGGAACUGCCUUUGAAACUAGGUGGCUUGAACACGGGAGAGGUGAGUGGAAUUCCGAGUGUAGAGGUGAAAUUCGUAGAUAUUCGGAAGAACACCAGUGGCGAAGGCGGCUCACUGGACCGUUGUUGACGCUGAGGUACGAAAGCGUGGGGAGCAAACAGGAUUAGAUACCCUGGUAGUCCACGCCGUAAACGAUGAGAACUAGCUGUCAGGGCCCUUAGGGCUUUGGUGGCGCAGCUAACGCAUUAAGUUCUCCGCCUGGGGAGUACGGCCGCAAGGUUA
Molecule: ribosomal RNA, 373 nt
Filed under: uncultured bacterium
Lineage: Bacteria
Description: bacterial SSU rRNA
Rfam family: Bacterial small subunit ribosomal RNA
Source: RNAcentral